CUUCACAUUACAAAGCGUCGCCAUCUGCUGGAGGAGUCCCAGAGCAAACACGCCCCUCCCCAACCAGCACACUGAUAUGUCAGCUGCUGCCUGACCUCAAUCCACGGUGUUUCCUGGAUCUCCGAUGAGUUCCUCAGACUCCUCCCUCUUCCUCUGCGCUGGUUUCUAAUUAAUCUUCCACAGUUGUUGCUGCCCUGACAGACGGGUCGUUUAUAUUCCUCCAAGGCAGCGGCAGUAGCUGCGCGUUUGAAACUGGGGUCGCUAGAGAAGAUACUAUGGAGACGCUUUUUCUUCUCAGCAUUUGGAUAUUCAGUCGCCUAGGCUCUGCGCUGGGCGACUCGGUCAAAUCCAACGAACCCGAAAUGUCUGGAUCAGUUGGAGGUUCUGUGACACUCAGCUGUUCUUACACCACCAGCGAUACCUAUGUCUAUCUCUAUUGGUACCGUCAGUACCCGAACCAAGCGCCGCAGUACAUUCUCUAUAGAGGAGCGAAAUCCUACAGCGGCCGCAGCCACACUGCAGAUUUCGCCCAGCAGAGGUUUUCUUCCCAGGCUGCUGACAGCUCCACAGUUCUGGACAUCGCAGCCCUAGAGAUGGCGGACAGUGCGGUGUAUCACUGCGCCCUGUGGAGAGCACAGUGA
Non-coding RNA from Mauremys reevesii (Reeves's turtle), 641 nucleotides. The record is from the annotation of a RefSeq genome assembly. Lineage: Eukaryota; Metazoa; Chordata; Testudines; Geoemydidae.